AUUGAACGCUGGCGGCAUGCCUUACACAUGCAAGUCGAACGGCAGCACGGGAGCAAUCCUGGUGGCGAGUGGCGAACGGGUGAGUAAUAUAUCGGAACGUGCCCGGUCGUGGGGGAUAACGUAGCGAAAGCUACGCUAAUACCGCAUACGAUCUACGGAUGAAANCGGGGGAUCGCAAGACCUCGCGCGAUUGGAGCGGCCGAUAUCAGAUUAGGUAGUUGGUGAGGUAAAGGCUCACCAAGCCGACGAUCUGUAGCUGGUCUGAGAGGACGACCAGCCACACUGGGACUGAGACACGGCCCAGACUCCUACGGGAGGCAGCAGUGGGGAAUUUUGGACAAU
RNAcentral lists this ribosomal RNA (342 nucleotides) under uncultured bacterium. Its description in RNAcentral is "bacterial SSU rRNA". It matches the Rfam family "Bacterial small subunit ribosomal RNA", at positions 30 to 372 of the family's 1533-position model. The record is from RNAcentral.